AACGGAGAUCAGAAUAAAGGGGACCUAAACUAAGUGAACAUUCGGCAUUCACAACAGCUAAAUUGGCAAUGAUUGCACAGCGUUUGGAUUUGAAAAGUGCCAGGGAUCAGCAACGAUCCCUCUAGGAAAUCGACUCCACGUUCAAUCAAUAUUCAAUCUUCAAAUUAUAGAAAAACAUUCGAAAUACAAACUUCAACGGCCCCAGCUGAGUAUAUUGUCAGGUAACAAUUAUUGUGAAUGUUACGAUUGAAUAAUUUCAUUGAUAUCCAUGAAAGGGCUUCUAACAACUGCUCCGGAAGAACUACAUGGAUUUGCUUCGACUCCAGGAAUUGAAAAAGUUUCAGGUACCCCGCACUGAACUCUCCGAGGGUCCGGUAUUAGCUAAAGAACAAGAAAGGAUAUUAAAUGAUGCACAAAAAUAUUCACUCAUCAAGCGGGAGUGUAAAUCUGAGACAAACUGGGCUGCCACAUAGCCACAGAUAAACCCCUGAGAAGCACAGCACACUUCUGCGCAGUAUAUGCAUUCGCUCUGCGAUAUCUGAUCACGCUGGUCAAUGGGUGUAGAAUUCUACGUCCUGAUGUUUUUUUGUAGGCCCUGUCCUCCGGCUGCUCCCUGGCUUAGUGGAACUAGUCAACACAAUAGCAGCGAACCGGGGUGAAUUGCCUCCCUCUUCAA
Molecule: small RNA, 676 nt
Filed under: Histoplasma capsulatum
Lineage: Eukaryota; Fungi; Ascomycota; Eurotiomycetes; Onygenales; Ajellomycetaceae
Also listed under: 1 other name
Description: hypothetical RNA
Source: RNAcentral